AUAUUUAUAGCCUUAUGGUUGCACAACAAACUAUAAUAUUUUAGUUAAAUUAGACCCAUCAUUUCCAUAUAGUCAUAUCUGAAUGAUACUGCCCUUGUGGUUGCACAACAAAGUAAUAUAUCUAAAAUGCUGUAAGCAUCAAAUAUGCACUAAGACAAUCCACAUCAAUCUCCAUAAUAAGCCUUGUCGUUGCAUAACAAACACUUUAUAAUUCUUGACAUGACAUUGGC
RNAcentral lists this long non-coding RNA (230 nucleotides) under Elaeis guineensis (African oil palm). Its description in RNAcentral is "long non-coding RNA (EGUI_LNC012483)". Lineage: Eukaryota; Viridiplantae; Streptophyta; Magnoliopsida; Arecales; Arecaceae. The record is from RNAcentral.